CCCGGAAGUACUUUUUUAUUUUUGUUGACGAGAUGCAGAUGUCAUCUUGUUGAAUGAAAUAGUUAGCUAGUGAACUAAAAUGUGACAGCAUCUACUGCGUAAUCAUAACGUUAUAUUUGUCUAAAUGUAGGCUUUUAAAUCUCAGGGAAAAUGUCACGUUUAAAGGAUCAACUGGCCACCGUCAUGAGGCUUUUAGUAAAUGCAGCCGUGGUGGAAAUAAGUAAAUUGUUGGACGAGUGCACGAGUCAAAACGUUUACACCGAGUCACAGAGGCAGAGCACUGGCUCUGGGACUGAGCUGUCUGCCACCAUGAAGAGAUUGUGCAGAGAGGCCAUGCAAAAAAUCAUUAGUCUCAUAGAUGAGGAUACAGCUUCUCUGCGUCUGCAAGUGUCUGUGUGUCAGAGAGAUAAUCAGGUUCUGAAGGAGAAUCUCCAGUUGAUGGAUGGGGACCUGAGGACGACUAGAGGGCUUGGAGAGGUGGGUGCAGAGGACAGGAAGACCCAAGGAAAAGACCUGACUAAAAUUGUGCGCUUGUCUGAAGUCAACAGUGGCAUGUCUUCAGAGACGGAGGAGGAAUGUGCUGAAUGGAUCACGUUGAAGGAGGGUACCCUGCAACAGGACGCCCAGACAGGACACACACGUGAGGACACAGGUAAGUAGUUAUGAAGUCACCUUUCAAUACGUUCAGAAUGGUCUGAAUGUAGUCUACUGACUGCAUUACAUCUUAUAUUCACAACUUAGAAAGUUUAAAUGAAUUAAUAUUGAAUAUCUACUGCCCAGAUGGAGAAUCCAGGACAGAGGCUGGGGAGGAUGCUACUAUUGAACACAACUUGGAGGAGGAGAUUACUACACCACUCUCACCAGCAAAGGCCCAAGAUGACCAAGACUUAGAGCCUGCUGCGCCCACAG
This 909-nucleotide long non-coding RNA is filed under the name Salmo trutta (river trout). RNAcentral's name for it is "lncRNA (ENSSTUG00000028487.1)". The record is from RNAcentral. Lineage: Eukaryota; Metazoa; Chordata; Actinopteri; Salmoniformes; Salmonidae.